AGAGGUGGGAAGUCCAGGGGCCAAAGAGUAAAAGUCCUGCCAUAUUUUUGUUCCACCCAUGAACUCAUCAGCGGAUUUCACCAGAGGAGGAACCAAGUCAUUCCUUCCAAGUCACAAACGAGUCUUGAGUCAAAUCCCAAGUCCUCAAAGAGUUAAAGCUAAAGAGAUAAUUAAGUGACUAAUUAAAUGAAGAUGCAUUAGUGAUGAACACCUGCUGUUUACAAUCAACAUCACUGAAGAAAAGAGAAACACAAGAACUACAACUGACUUUAAGCACAGCCUUGGAUGAAAUCAAUAAAAAAAAAAAAAAAAAAAAAAAAAAAAAAACUUUGCCACCAUAAUUGUGGUGAGUAUUUGCUUCAGUUGAUAUCUUGAGCCUUUAAGCGGUUUUCACAAAUUUGCUUCUAUACAAUUGCAAUAUUGUUUUUCAGCAAACAUUUGUGCAAUGCUGAUACAACUCUUGAUCUAGCAGAUCUGUCUUCUCCACAACAACCCAUGCAGAGCUACAGAGAAAGAUCUAGCACAACAAGUCAAGGGUCAAGAGCACAAUUAAACCAAACACUGAUCUCCAUGAUGGUGGCAUCUUUUUAACCAAUAAAACAUCCACAUCUGAUCCUCUGUAAUUCUCAAUAACAGCAGAUGUUAAUCAUUAAUGCACAAUCAUCAUUUAAUUAGUCACUUAAUUAUCUCAUUAACUUUAACUCUUUGAGGACUUGGGAUUUGACUCAAGACUCGUUUGUGACUUGGAAGGAAUGACUUGGUUCCUCCUCUGAUGAAAUCGGCUGAUGAGUUCAUGGGUGGAACAAAAAUAUGGCAGGACUUUUACUCUUUGGCCCCUGGACUUCCCACCUCUG
Carassius gibelio (silver crucian carp) is the source of this 854-nucleotide long non-coding RNA. RefSeq lists it as uncharacterized. The record is from RefSeq and is a predicted model, not a curated record. NCBI's taxonomy places the organism in Eukaryota, Metazoa, Chordata, Actinopteri, Cypriniformes, Cyprinidae. The transcript has 3 exons.